UGAUGCCUAACCAUGGCAGUCGAGCGGUACAGGCGUACCAAUACGUGCUGACGAGCGGCGAACGGGCGAGCAAUGCUUCGGAAUCUGCCCAAUGAUGGGGAAUAACCAGUCGAAAGAUUGGCUAAUACCGCAUACGCCCUUCGGGGGAAAGCGGGGGAUCGUAAGACCUCGCGUCGAUGGAUGAGCCGAAGUCGGAUUAGCUAGUUGGUAGGGUAACGGCCUACCAAGGCGACGAUCCGUAGCUGGUCUGAGAGGACGACCAGCCACACUGGGACUGAGACACGGCCCAGACUCCUACGGGAGGCAGCAGUGGGGAAUAUUGGACAAUGGGGGCAACCCUGAUCCAGCGACGCCGCGUGUGUGAAGAAGGCCUGCGGGUUGUAAAGCACUUUUAGUGGGGAUGAAAAGCACAUCACUAACACUGGUGUGUCUUGACCUAACCCAAAGAAUAAGCACCGGCUAACUCUGUGCCAGCAGCCGCGGUAAUACAGAGGGUGCGAGCGUUAAUCGGAAUUACUGGGCGUAAAGCGUGCGUANACGGCUAUCUAAGUCGGGUGUGANAGCCCCGGGCUCAACCUGGGAAUUGCAUUCGAGACUGAAUAGCUAGGGUACGGUAGAGGGAAGUGGAAUUUCCGGUGUAACGGUGAAAUGCGUAGAUAUCGGAAGGGAACUCAGUGGCGAAAGCGACUUCCUGGACCAAUACCGACCUUCUGGCAGGAAAGCGUGGGGGAUCAAACAGGAUUAGAUUCCCUUGGUAGUCCCCCGCCGUAACCUUUGAGAGCUAGCCGUUGGAGGGUUUACCCUUUCCGGGGCGCAGCCUUAAGGCUUUAACUUCCUCGCCUGGGAGAAGAAGGCCGCAAGAUUAAAAUUCAAGGGAAUUGACUGGGGCCCGGACAAGUGGGUGGGAUUG
This 910-nucleotide ribosomal RNA is filed under the name gamma proteobacterium enrichment culture clone CTBE CDB1001C10. RNAcentral describes it as "bacterial SSU rRNA". It matches the Rfam family "Bacterial small subunit ribosomal RNA", at positions 43 to 941 of the family's 1533-position model. The record is from RNAcentral. Lineage: Bacteria; Pseudomonadati; Pseudomonadota; Gammaproteobacteria.